UUCUGGUUGAUCCUGCCAGUAGUUAUAUGCUUGUCUCAAAGAUUAAGCCAUGCAUGUCUAAGUACACACGAAUUAAAAGUGAAACCGCAAAAGGCUCAUUAUAUCAGUUAUGGUUUAUUAGAUCGUUAACAGUUACUUGGAUAACUGUGGUAAUUCUAGAGCUAAUACAUGCAAUAUAAACACGGACCUUAUGGAACGUGUGCUUUUAUUAGGCUAAAACCAAGCGAUUUUUUCGGAAAUCGUUAAUAUGGUUGAACUCUAGAUAAUUUGCCGAUCGUAUGGUCUUGUACCGACGACAGAUCUUUCAAAUGUCUGCCCUAUCAACUAUUGAUGGUAGUAUCGAGGACUACCAUGGUUGCAACGGGUAACGGGGAAUCAGGGUUCGAUUCCGGAGAGGGAGCCUGAGAAACGGCUACCACAUCUAAGGAAGGCAGCAGGCGCGUAAAUUACCCACUCCCAGUUCGGGGAGGUAGUGACGAAAAAUAACAAUACAGGACUCAUAUCCGAGGCCCUGUAAUUGGAAUGAGUACACUUUAAAUCCUUUAACAAGGACCCAUUGGAGGGCAAGUCUAGUGCCAGCAGCCGCGGUAAUUCUAGCUCCAAUAGCGUAUAUUAAAGUUGUUGCGGUUAAAACGUUCGUAGUUGAAUUUGUGCUUCAUACGGGUAGUACAACUAUAAUUGUGGAUUGUACAUUACCUUAUGUAUGCAAGCGUAUUACCGGUGGAGUUCUUAUAUUUAAUGGUACUUGUAUCAUUAUUUAUACCUCCUAUUUAAACCUGCUUCAGUGCUCUUCAUCGAGUGCUGUUGUGGGCCGGUACAAUUACUUUGAACAAAUUAGAGUGCUUAAAGCAGGCUCCAAAUGCCUGAAUAUUUUGUGCAUGGAAUAAUGAAAUAAGACCUCUGUUCUACUUUCAUUGGUUUUUAGAUCAAGAGGUAAUGAUUAAUAGAAGCAGUUUGGGGGCAUUAGUAUUACGACGCGAGAGGUGAAAUUCUUGGACCGUCGUAAGACUAACUUAAGCGAAAGCAUUUGCCAAAGAUGUUUUCAUUAAUCAAGAACGAAAGUUAGAGGUUCGAAGGCGAUCAGAUACCGCCCUAGUUCUAACCAUAAACGAUGCCAGCUAGCAAUUGGGUGUAGCUACUUCUAUGGCUCUCUCAGUCGCUUCCCGGGAAACCAAAGCUUUUGGGCUCCGGGGGAAGUAUGGUUGCAAAGCUGAAACUUAAAGGAAUUGACGGAAGGGCACCACCAGGAGUGGAGCCUGCGGCUUAAUUUGAC
RNAcentral lists this ribosomal RNA (1273 nucleotides) under Mesembrius chapini. Its description in RNAcentral is "SSU rRNA". It matches the Rfam family "Eukaryotic small subunit ribosomal RNA", at positions 1 to 1199 of the family's 1831-position model. Lineage: Eukaryota; Metazoa; Arthropoda; Insecta; Diptera; Syrphidae. The record is from RNAcentral.